UUCUGCUUCACUUUGAACAGC
Molecule: unclassified non-coding RNA, 21 nt
Filed under: Mus musculus (house mouse)
Lineage: Eukaryota; Metazoa; Chordata; Mammalia; Rodentia; Muridae
Description: oocyte_clustered_small_RNA11712
Source: RNAcentral